RNAcentral lists this ribosomal RNA (1542 nucleotides) under Escherichia coli. RNAcentral's name for it is "bacterial SSU rRNA". It matches the Rfam family "Bacterial small subunit ribosomal RNA". The record is from RNAcentral. Lineage: Bacteria; Pseudomonadati; Pseudomonadota; Gammaproteobacteria; Enterobacterales; Enterobacteriaceae.
AAAUUGAAGAGUUUGAUCAUAGCUCAGAUUGAACGCUGGCGGCAGGCCUAACACAUGCAAGUCGAACGGUAACAGGAAGCAGCUUGCUGCUUUGCUGACGAGUGGCGGACGGGUGAGUAAUGUCUGGGAAACUGCCCGAUGGAGGGGGAUAACUACUGGAAACGGUAGCUAAUACCGCAUAACGUCGCAAGACCAAAGAGGGGGACCUUAGGGCCUCUUGCCAUCGGAUGUGCCCAGAUGGGAUUAGCUAGUAGGUGGGGUAAUGGCUCACCUAGGCGACGAUCCCUAGCUGGUCUGAGAGGAUGACCAGCCACACUGGAACUGAGACACGGUCCAGACUCCUACGGGAGGCAGCAGUGGGGAAUAUUGCACAAUGGGCGCAAGCCUGAUGCAGCCAUGCCGCGUGUAUGAAGAAGGCCUUCGGGUUGUAAAGUACUUUCAGCGGGGAGGAAGGGAGUAAAGUUAAUACCUUUGCUCAUUGACGUUACCCGCAGAAGAAGCACCGGCUAACUCCGUGCCAGCAGCCGCGGUAAUACGGAGGGUGCAAGCGUUAAUCGGAAUUACUGGGCGUAAAGCGCACGCAGGCGGUUUGUUAAGUCAGAUGUGAAAUCCCCGGGCUCAACCUGGGAACUGCAUCUGAUACUGGCAAGCUUGAGUCUCGUAGAGGGGGGUAGAAUUCCAGGUGUAGCGGUGAAAUGCGUAGAGAUCUGGAGGAAUACCGGUGGCGAAGGCGGCCCCCUGGACGAAGACUGACGCUCAGGUGCGAAAGCGUGGGGAGCAAACAGGAUUAGAUACCCUGGUAGUCCACGCCGUAAACGAUGUCGACUUGGAGGUUGUGCCCUUGAGGCGUGGCUUCCGGAGCUAACGCGUUAAGUCGACCGCCUGGGGAGUACGGCCGCAAGGUUAAAACUCAAAUGAAUUGACGGGGGCCCGCACAAGCGGUGGAGCAUGUGGUUUAAUUCGAUGCAACGCGAAGAACCUUACCUGGUCUUGACAUCCACGGAAGUUUUCAGAGAUGAGAAUGUGCCUUCGGGAACCGUGAGACAGGUGCUGCAUGGCUGUCGUCAGCUCGUGUUGUGAAAUGUUGGGUUAAGUCCCGCAACGAGCGCAACCCUUAUCCUUUGUUGCCAGCGGUCCGGCCGGGAACUCAAAGGAGACUGCCAGUGAUAAACUGGAGGAAGGUGGGGAUGACGUCAAGUCAUCAUGGCCCUUACGACCAGGGCUACACACGUGCUACAAUGGCGCAUACAAAGAGAAGCGACCUCGCGAGAGCAAGCGGACCUCAUAAAGUGCGUCGUAGUCCGGAUUGGAGUCUGCAACUCGACUCCAUGAAGUCGGAAUCGCUAGUAAUCGUGGAUCAGAAUGCCACGGUGAAUACGUUCCCGGGCCUUGUACACACCGCCCGUCACACCAUGGGAGUGGGUUGCAAAAGAAGUAGGUAGCUUAACCUUCGGGAGGGCGCUUACCACUUUGUGAUUCAUGACUGGGGUGAAGUCGUAACAAGGUAACCGUAGGGGAACCUGCGGUUGGAUCACCUCCUUA